Molecule: long non-coding RNA, 797 nt
Filed under: Panax ginseng (ginseng)
Lineage: Eukaryota; Viridiplantae; Streptophyta; Magnoliopsida; Apiales; Araliaceae
Description: long non-coding RNA (PGIN_LNC008411)
Source: RNAcentral
GCGAGGAUGCAGAAUUCAUGACUUUCCCAUUUCCCGCUCCUCCAAUGUAUGCUCCAUAUCCACCGCAAUUUCCGCCCCCCUACAGAGGUGGCCCGACCAUAUGAGCCAGUCAACGCGGAUGAUGAUGGCGAGGAUGAUGAUAAUUUUGAGUUGUUUGGCGUGGAUGGGGAUUUCAAAGGCGGUAAUGAUGACCACGGAGGCGAUGCUCCUGAUGCUAGAGGCUAGUUCAACAGAGGCCAGUGAGGACACGGGCCACUAUUCAAGUUUGGGGGAGAUUUUAUUUUGUUUGAUUAAUAUAUAUGAAUUGUGUUAGGAUUAUCUUAUGUCUAUUUAAAACUGCUGUGUAGGAUUGUAUUUGGGCUUGAUAGCCCUAGACUAAUGUUUAAGCUUUUAUCUAUCUAUUGUGUUAUUUUAGUGAAUAUCUUUUGGUUUUGGAUGCAUGCUUUUAUUUAUCUUGGAUGCAUGUCUUUGCUUAGUCAUAUUCUAUGUUUCUUUUAUUAUAUGAUUUUGGUUGUAUAUAUAUUUUUUUGCUUGGGAAUAUCUCGACUAAGUCAGAUAUUGUCUCGCCUUAAGCCUAAUUUUUGGGUCUUUCACUGAUUAAUUGGUAUACUCGAUGCCAUGCAUUGUGGCUUUCCCCGAAGGGUACUCUAUAGUUUGUAGUGUUGUUUUUGCCCUUGGUCAGACUGUCUUGUAAUUUUAUCGAUUUCCUAAGCUAGUGGAAAAGUUAUGCGGCUUUGGGGGGCCUGUGUGUUUGAUUUAACUCAAGACUGUCUUGGAUCCAUCCGUUUAACGAGCAC